This 332-nucleotide ribosomal RNA is filed under the name uncultured eukaryote. RNAcentral's name for it is "partial 18S ribosomal RNA". It matches the Rfam family "Eukaryotic small subunit ribosomal RNA", at positions 1470 to 1796 of the family's 1831-position model. The record is from RNAcentral.
CCCUUAGAUGUUCUGGGCUGCACGCGCGCUACACUGUCGGAUUCAGCGAGUCAUAUCCUUAACCGAAAGGUUUGGGUAAUCUUUUGAAAGUCCGACGUGAUGGGGAUUGAUCAUUGCAAUUAUUGAUCAUGAACGAGGAAUUCCUAGUAAGCGCGAGUCAUCAGCUCGCGUUGAUUACGUCCCUGCCCUUUGUACACACCGCCCGUCGCUACUACCGAUUGAAUGGUUUAGUGAGAUCCUCGGAUUGGCGCCUACGCGGCUUCUCUGAGGCCACGCUGGAUGCCGAAAAGUUGCUCAAACUGUAUCAUUUAGAGGAAGUAAAAGUCGUAACA